RNAcentral lists this ribosomal RNA (518 nucleotides) under Calocera viscosa. RNAcentral's name for it is "SSU rRNA". It matches the Rfam family "Bacterial small subunit ribosomal RNA", at positions 384 to 961 of the family's 1533-position model. The record is from RNAcentral. Lineage: Eukaryota; Fungi; Basidiomycota; Dacrymycetes; Dacrymycetales; Dacrymycetaceae.
UGAUGGAGCUAACUAGAAUUCAUUAGUGUCUGAACGCUAAGAAAAAUGUAAUAAGGAGAUAAUGACAAAAUAUUACCAAGAAGUACAGACUAAUCGCCGUGCCAGCAGUCGCGGUAAAACGGCUUGUACAAACGUUAGUCCUCUUUACUAGGCUUAAAGGGUUCGUAGGCAGCCUUCUCAGGAAAAAAAAGGGAAGGAUAGAAUCUAAUUGAGGAUACAUACAAUACACAUAUGAGAGGCUAUAUUCUUAGACUAUUUUGUAGAGUGAUGAUGGCGAAGGCAAUUAUCCAGGUAAGAUUGACGCUGAGGAACUAAGGUUUGGAUAGGAAACAGGAUUUGAGACCCAGGUACCCCAUACAUUCAACAAUGAAUGCUAGAUAUUAGUAUUAAAUUAUUAGUGUCGAUGUGAAACACGUUAAGCAUUCCGCCUUGGUAGUAUACUUGCAAAAGUGAAAUCAAAAAAAUUAGUCAGUUACGAAGUAAACGAAGUGAAGCAUGUUGUUCAAUACGAUAAUCCG